AGUCAACUGACGAGUUUCAAACAGGACGGAACGCCCGUCUUGGAU
Molecule: non-coding RNA, 45 nt
Filed under: Schistosoma bovis
Lineage: Eukaryota; Metazoa; Platyhelminthes; Trematoda; Strigeidida; Schistosomatidae
Also listed under: 1 other name
Source: RNAcentral